AGUCCAUGAUGUGGACUUCUCCUUUGCAUCUCCUUAAAUCUUUCUCAUGCUUCAUAAGAGGGCUCACCAUCCAUCUGCAUAAAUGUAAUAAUAUUGUUAUGCAU
This is a non-coding RNA of Eucalyptus grandis, 104 nucleotides long. Lineage: Eukaryota; Viridiplantae; Streptophyta; Magnoliopsida; Myrtales; Myrtaceae. The record is from Rfam.